CUACGGGCCGCUGCAGUGGGGAAUAUUGGACAAUGGACCAAAAGUCUGAUCCAGCAAUUCUGUGUGCACGAUGACGGUUUUCGGAUUGUAAAGUGCUUUCAACAGGGAAGAAGUUCUGACGGUACCUGUAGAAGAAGCGACGGCUAAAUACGUGCCAGCAGCCGCGGUAAUACGUAUGUCGCAAGCGUUAUCCGGAUUUAUUGGGCAUAAAGGGCAUCUAGGCGGCUUAGUAAGCCUGAUGUGAAAAUGCGGGGCUCAACUCCGUAUUGCGUUGGAAACUACUAAGCUAGAGUAUUGGAGAGGUAGGCGGAACUACAUGUGUAGAGGUGAAAUUCGUAGAUAUAUGUAGGAAUGCCGAUGACGAAGGUAGCUUACUGGACAAUUACUGACGCUGAAGUGCGAAAGCUAGGGGAGCAAACAGGAUUAGAUACCCGUGUAGUC
This 441-nucleotide ribosomal RNA is filed under the name uncultured bacterium. RNAcentral's name for it is "partial 16S ribosomal RNA". It matches the Rfam family "Bacterial small subunit ribosomal RNA", at positions 339 to 795 of the family's 1533-position model. The record is from RNAcentral.